This 330-nucleotide ribosomal RNA is filed under the name Triticum aestivum (bread wheat). RNAcentral describes it as "partial small subunit ribosomal RNA". The record is from RNAcentral. Lineage: Eukaryota; Viridiplantae; Streptophyta; Magnoliopsida; Poales; Poaceae.
AUGCAUGACUUAAUGCAUGAUCUUGCAAAAGACGUCACAGAUGAAUGUGCAAGUAUAGGAGAACUGACUCGGCAGAAAGCAUUGUUAAAAGAUGUUUGUCACAUGCAAAUGUCAAAGGCCGAACUGAAACAAAUCAGUGGGUUAUGCAAACACAAAAAGUACCUCCGCACUUUGUUAUCUCCUUCAGAAUUACACAGGCAUUAUUAUUUUUUAAAUAGGUCACAUAAGGAUUUUAAAGAGUUUCUACAGAUAUCAGCAUCACUAAGAGCAUUGCAUUGCCCCCCUUCUUCAAUUGACAUUUGCACAGCCAUAAAUGCGAAACAUUUAUGA